Molecule: long non-coding RNA, 500 nt
Organism: Homo sapiens (human)
Lineage: Eukaryota; Metazoa; Chordata; Mammalia; Primates; Hominidae
Source: Ensembl
UGUGAAUGGAGGAGCCAUUGCUUUGGGUCACCCACUGGGAGGAUCUGGAUUGGUUGAUGAAUUAAGGCGUCGAGGUGGAAAAUAUGCCGUUGGAUCAGCUUGCAUUGGAGGUGGCCAAGGUAUUGCUGUCAUCAUUCAGAGCACAGCCUGAAGAGACCAGUGAGCUCACUGUGACCCACUCUUAUUCUACUUGGCCAGGCCACAGUAAAACAAGUGACCUUCAGAGCAGCUGCCACAACUGGCCAUGUCCUGCCAUUGAAACAGUGAUUGAGUUUGUUCAAGCCAUGGUGAUACAAAAAUGCAUUGAUCAUGAAUAGGAGCCCAUGCUAGAAGUACGGUCUCUCAGAUUUGUACCAGUGAAAUAUGUAUUUCUGAACUAAAACUCAACUAUAGAAGACAUUAAAAGAAAUUGUAUUCUUGCCAAGUAACCACCACUUCUGCCUUAGAUAAUAUGGUUAUAAGGAAAUCAAAUAAAUGUUGCCUUAACUUCAAAAAAAAAA